UACGUAGGGUGCAAGCGUUGUCCGGAAUUAUUGGGCGUAAAGAGCUCGUAGGCGGUUUGUCGCGUCUGCUGUGAAAACUCGGGGCUUAACCCCGGGCCUGCAGUGGGUACGGGCAGACUAGAGUGCGGUAGGGGAGACUGGAAUUCCUGGUGUAGCGGUGAAAUGCGUAGAUAUCUGGAGGAACACCGGUGGCGAAGGCGGCAUCCUGGACCGGCAUUGACGCUGAGGCGCGAAAGCCAGGGGAGCAAACGGA
RNAcentral lists this ribosomal RNA (253 nucleotides) under uncultured bacterium. Its description in RNAcentral is "partial 16S ribosomal RNA". It matches the Rfam family "Bacterial small subunit ribosomal RNA", at positions 524 to 776 of the family's 1533-position model. The record is from RNAcentral.